GGAUAAUGAUGAUUGCCUAGGUCCGUGUUUCUGAACAAUACUGAUAACACUUAUGGCAGAUUCUGAAAUC
Molecule: small nucleolar RNA, 70 nt
Organism: Ostrea edulis (European flat oyster)
Lineage: Eukaryota; Metazoa; Mollusca; Bivalvia; Ostreida; Ostreidae
Product: small nucleolar RNA SNORD18
Exons: 1
Source: RefSeq, a predicted model, not a curated record